This is a long non-coding RNA of Harpia harpyja (harpy eagle), 1169 nucleotides long. RefSeq lists it as uncharacterized. Lineage: Eukaryota; Metazoa; Chordata; Aves; Accipitriformes; Accipitridae. The transcript is spliced from 3 exons. The record is from RefSeq and is a predicted model, not a curated record.
CAGCCGGGGAGGGGGAGGUCUGGGGGUCGCCGUCGGAGAGAGGAGGUGGUUGGGCAGGGCGGCUGCUAGGCGGCCGCUCUGUACCGGUGGAGUUGCUGCGUCAAACGAAAUGGCAGGAGAGGGCAAGUUUCCUGUGAGCAUCUCAACUGCUGUGGCCUUGUGAGUAAAGAAAGUAAAGAAAAUCCAGACAGAUUCAGAAUUUAACAAGAGCGGUGCUAGCCUGGAGGAACUGCUUAGAGUUACAGCAGCCCGGUUCAUCACGGGACGGCACCUCUAUAUGUGCAGAAGAAAACUGAAAAUUCAUACUACUCCCAGGAGGAAUAAUACAGAGUUGUGGUAGAACUGCCCACUUGAGAAAAAAAACAGAGUAGAAAAGGGAACCUUAAGGACUAAGGAAGCGUUACAAGACUUCGCUCUAAGCUAUACCAGGUGGGUACUUGCUACCAGAAGCAAUGAGUUGCAAGGCAGAGCACGACCUCCAGCAACGCACUGAGAAUAGUUGUGUGGGUUGACAUCCAGCCACCGGCAAGUCAAAUUCAUUAACAGUAAACCCUAGUAUUUCCCUCUGUGGAACUACAUCACUUUGCACUCAGUAAGGAUCCAACCUUAUACGUGGGUUUUUGUGGUUUUUUUUAAGCCUCUCACUGAGUGUUCUGGAAAAAUAAUUUCAAUUUUAUUCCGUGUGCCGGGGCUCUGUGCAAACUUCACAAUUCUUCUUGUGCCUGAUCUCCUAAGUUACCGACUAAUCCACAGAAAAUUUUUGAAGAGGAGAGCGGUGCUUCAUUAAGAGAUUACUCGUGGGAGGAUGUCAGCUCAAAUGAGGAAUUGCAAAAAUUAUGAAAUGACAGCUCUUGCAAAUGUUUACACAUGUAUUUGGCAGUUUUCUGGAUCCUGGUGAAUAGCAGUACCCACAGAAAACCCGAAAGGAACCUAACAAAUCAGGUGCUCAAAUCAGCCCUUUAGCUGUUUGAGCAGUCUUCCUUUUGGAUGUUACCCUACGUGUACGUCCCAAAAUUUGGCGUGAGAAGCAGUCUUAUACAGUGUAAAAGUGUCAGUUCCAACUUACUGACACAGAUCCAUUGUCUGCACGAAGUUCUUCCACUCUGGAGCUACAUACGUUGUGAGAUUCAGAUUCUGUGGUACCUGUUCCACACUUUUUACCUUCUGUU